This 279-nucleotide ribosomal RNA is filed under the name uncultured bacterium. RNAcentral describes it as "partial 16S ribosomal RNA". It matches the Rfam family "Bacterial small subunit ribosomal RNA", at positions 506 to 784 of the family's 1533-position model. The record is from RNAcentral.
UGCCAGCAGCCGCGGUAAUACGGAGGGGGCUAGCGUUGUUCGGAAUUACUGGGCGUAAAGCGCACGUAGGCGGAUAUUUAAGUUAGAGGUGAAAUCCCGGGGCUCAACCCCGGAACUGCCUUUAAUACUGGAUGUCUUGAGUUCGAGAGAGGUAAGUGGAAUUCCAAGUGUAGAGGUGAAAUUCGUAGAUAUUUGGAGGAACACCAGUGGCGAAGGCGGCUUACUGGCUCGAUACUGACGCUGAGGUGCGAAAGCGUGGGGAGCAAACAGGAUUAGAUA